UUAAAUUGAAGAGUUUGAUCAUGGCUCAGAUUGAACGCUGGCGGCAGGCCUAACACAUGCAAGUCGAACGGUAACAGGAAACAGCUUGCUGUUUCGCUGACGAGUGGCGGACGGGUGAGUAAUGUCUGGGAAACUGCCUGAUGGAGGGGGAUAACUACUGGAAACGGUAGCUAAUACCGCAUAAUGUCGCAAGACCAAAGAGGGGGACCUUCGGGCCUCUUGCCAUCGGAUGUGCCCAGAUGGGAUUAGCUAGUAGGUGGGGUAACGGCUCACCUAGGCGACGAUCCCUAGCUGGUCUGAGAGGAUGACCAGCCACACUGGAACUGAGACACGGUCCAGACUCCUACGGGAGGCAGCAGUGGGGAAUAUUGCACAAUGGGCGCAAGCCUGAUGCAGCCAUGCCGCGUGUAUGAAGAAGGCCUUCGGGUUGUAAAGUACUUUCAGCGGGGAGGAAGGGAGUAAAGUUAAUACCUUUACUCAUUGACGUUACCCGCAGAAGAAGCACCGGCUAACUCCGUGCCAGCAGCCGCGGUAAUACGGAGGGUGCAAGCGUUAAUCGGAAUUACUGGGCGUAAAGCGCACGCAGGCGGUUUGUUAAGUCGGAUGUGAAAUCCCCGGGCUCAACCUGGGAACUGCAUCUGAUACUGGCAAGCUUGAGUCUCGUAGAGGGGGGUAGAAUUCCAGGUGUAGCGGUGAAAUGCGUAGAGAUCUGGAGGAAUACCGGUGGCGAAGGCGGCCCCCUGGACGAAGACUGACGCUCAGGUGCGAAAGCGUGGGGAGCAAACAGGAUUAGAUACCCUGGUAGUCCACGCCGUAAACGAUGUCGACUUGGAGGUUGUGCCCUUGAGGCGUGGCUUCCGGAGCUAACGCGUUAAGUCGACCGCCUGGGGAGUACGGCCGCAAGGUUAAAACUCAAAUGAAUUGACGGGGGCCCGCACAAGCGGUGGAGCAUGUGGUUUAAUUCGAUGCAACGCGAAGAACCUUACCUGGUCUUGACAUCCACAGAACUUUCCAGAGAUGGAUUGGUGCCUUCGGGAACUGUGAGACAGGUGCUGCAUGGCUGUCGUCAGCUCGUGUUGUGAAAUGUUGGGUUAAGUCCCGCAACGAGCGCAACCCUUAUCCUUUGUUGCCAGCGGUCCGGCCGGGAACUCAAAGGAGACUGCCAGUGAUAAACUGGAGGAAGGUGGGGAUGACGUCAAGUCAUCAUGGCCCUUACGACCAGGGCUACACACGUGCUACAAUGGCGCAUACAAAGAGAAGCGACCUCGCGAGAGCAAGCGGACCUCAUAAAGUGCGUCGUAGUCCGGAUUGGAGUCUGCAACUCGACUCCAUGAAGUCGGAAUCGCUAGUAAUCGUGGAUCAGAAUGCCACGGUGAAUACGUUCCCGGGCCUUGUACACACCGCCCGUCACACCAUGGGAGUGGGUUGCAAAAGAAGUAGGUAGCUUAACCUUCGGGAGGGCGCUUACCACUUUGUGAUUCAUGACUGGGGUGAAGUCGUAACAAGGUAACCGUAGGGGAACCUGCGGUUGGAUCACCUCCUUACCUUAAAGAAGC
Molecule: ribosomal RNA, 1556 nt
Filed under: Escherichia coli
Lineage: Bacteria; Pseudomonadati; Pseudomonadota; Gammaproteobacteria; Enterobacterales; Enterobacteriaceae
Description: bacterial SSU rRNA
Rfam family: Bacterial small subunit ribosomal RNA
Source: RNAcentral